CGUCCUAUUAGCUAGUUGGUGAGGUAAUGGCUCACCAAGGCUACGAUGGGUAGGGGUUCUUAGUGGAAGGUCCCCCACACUGGCACUGAGAUACGGGCCAGACUCCUACGGGAGGCAGCAGUAGGGAAUAUUGGUCAAUGGGCGCAAGCCUGAACCAGCCAUGCCGCGUGCAGGAUGAAGGCUCUCUGAGUUGUAAACUGCUUUUGUACGGGAGCAAAAAAAUCCCUGCGGGGGUUCUUGAGAGUACUGUAAGAAUAAGCACCGGCUAAUUCCGUGCCAGCAGCCGCGGUAAUACGGGAGGUGCAAGCGUUAUCCGGUUUUAUUGGGUUUAAAGGGUGCGUAGGCGGCUUAUUAAGUCAGUUGUGAAAUCCUAGUGCUUAACGCUAGAACUGCGAUUGAUACUAUU
Molecule: ribosomal RNA, 406 nt
Filed under: Cardinium endosymbiont of Bemisia tabaci
Lineage: Bacteria; Pseudomonadati; Bacteroidota; Cytophagia; Cytophagales; Amoebophilaceae
Also listed under: 1 other name
Description: partial 16S ribosomal RNA
Rfam family: Bacterial small subunit ribosomal RNA
Source: RNAcentral